GAGUUUGAUCUUGGCUCAGAUUGAACGCUGGCGGCAUGCCUUACGCAUGCAAGUCGAACGGCAGCACGGGAGCUUGCUCCUGGUGGCGAGUGGCGAACGGGUGAGUAAUGCAUCGGAACGUAUCCUGGAGUGGGGGAUAACGUAGCGAAAGUUACGCUAAUACCGCAUAUUCUGUGAGCAGGAAAGCGGGGGACCUUCGGGCCUCGCGCUCUUGGAGCGGCCGAUGUCGGAUUAGCUAGUUGGUGAGGUAAAGGCUCACCAAGGCGACGAUCCGUAGCAGGUCUGAGAGGAUGAUCUGCCACACUGGAACUGAGACACGGUCCAGACUCCUACGGGAGGCAGCAGUGGGGAAUUUUGGACAAUGGGGGCAACCCUGAUCCAGCCAUGCCGCGUGAGUGAAGAAGGCCUGGUGUAAGACGUCUUCGUCGAGG
RNAcentral lists this ribosomal RNA (431 nucleotides) under bacterium enrichment culture clone ALO1_GLFRUDD03F6389. RNAcentral describes it as "bacterial SSU rRNA". It matches the Rfam family "Bacterial small subunit ribosomal RNA", at positions 9 to 444 of the family's 1533-position model. The record is from RNAcentral.